Molecule: long non-coding RNA, 1396 nt
Filed under: Calidris pugnax (ruff)
Lineage: Eukaryota; Metazoa; Chordata; Aves; Charadriiformes; Scolopacidae
Description: lncRNA (ENSCPUG00000006384.1)
Source: RNAcentral
GUGACGGCGGUGCAGAAACGGGGUCUCUGCUUGCCAUGUUGGUGGGAGCUGUGGUGGAUCUCCAGCAGAGAAACCCCAGUGGAGGAAAGCAGCUCCUCAACAGCCAUCUGUCACCUAGCCAUGUGUGCACACUGCUUCAUGAGGAAGGCACAGCCACGGGCAGAUACUCGCUCAGCUUCUCCACCAUCUUCUGAAAGAAAGGGAACAGCACACAUGUGAAAACGGCCUGGAAAAAAAUGGUGUGGCUUCUGGAUGAGGAUUUAACAGAAGGCAAACUGGAGUAGUUAUGGAAAUGGGAAAAUGUUUAUAGGGUGGUCUGAAAUGAGGCCCUCAAAAAUGAUAGAAGAGACCUGCAGAUGUUUAUAUCACCAUAUGCUCGACCUCAUGAGUUCUGACAUUGUUUCUUGAUUACAUGUUCCCAUCCUGUCCCUCUACAAAACCUGUGACUGAGUGCAGCUGGGGCUGCCCUUGGGGGGGACGUGGAGGUGGAAGGUGACACGGCCACCUCCCCUCACCCCAAGAGCCAGGAAGAGGCAUGAGGAGCACGGCAGGGAUCUGCUGGAGGAGGGAACCAUCCAGGAAUCACACGGGAGAAUCACAGAAUCAUAGGAUUGUCUCAGUUGGAAGGGACCUUUCAGAUCAUGGAGUCCAACCAUCAACCCAACACUGACCAAACCACCCAUCGUCUGCCUGGAUUUUAAAUACCUCCAGGGUGCUGGGGGGCUCUCCCCACCCUGAGCUGGGGACGACAAAGGCAACUGGGAGGAAACCUUCUGCUCCUCCUGCUGGGACAGCCCGGUGCUGGGACAAAGCUGCCACCCAUUUCACUGGAAACACACAAAUUCAGCCCAUCUAAAAUUAUGACCUGCUGUUCCCCCAUCUCCUGCAGAGCCAGGAAAGAGAAGGGGACGCUGCCACAGGAACCUGUAGCCCCUGUAAAGCUGACUCAGCCACUGGCCAUUGGUUUCUGUCCAUUGAUUCCAUCUGUACCCAUCAACAUCAUCCCAUGUUGGUGGUGGCCAUGGCCCCAAGCCCACCCCGCUGCUCUUCGUUGGUGUGUGAUCAUUGUGGGCAACCACCUUUGGCUUCACUGCUGGAAAAAAGAAAAGGAAAACCCCAUGGUUUUGGACACAGAGGGUGUCUUCAACUGGUUCUUCUGUUUCCUGGUGUCAUCACCCAGAGGUGCAGCCAUGGAAAGGAAAACCAGCACGGCACUGGAGCGGCGCAGCCCAGUCCUGCCGCGGUGACGUUAGAGCUCCCCUUACAAAAAAAACCCCACUGCAGUGAAAUGGGAAGGGGCUGGUUUGAAAUGGGAAGCUCAGCACUUCCUCAGGCUAUGGAACAACUCAACUUCACUGAAAAUAAAAUAUAAAUUAUGGAAGUUUAAAUGUUUCUA